RNAcentral lists this ribosomal RNA (440 nucleotides) under uncultured bacterium. Its description in RNAcentral is "bacterial SSU rRNA". It matches the Rfam family "Bacterial small subunit ribosomal RNA", at positions 339 to 796 of the family's 1533-position model. The record is from RNAcentral.
CUACGGGAGGCAGCAGUGGGGAAUAUUGGACAAUGGGGGCAACCCUGAUCCAGCCAUGCCGCGUGAGUGAUGAAGGCCUUCGGGUUGUAAAGCUCUUUUGGCGGGGACGAUGAUGACGGUACCCGCAGAAUAAGCCCCGGCUAACUUCGUGCCAGCAGCCGCGGUAAGACGAAGGGGGCUAGCGUUGUUCGGAAUUACUGGGCGUAAAGCGCGUGUAGGCGGUUGUUCAAGUUAGGUGUGAAAGCCUUGAGCUCAACUCAAGAAAUGCACUUGAUACUGGAUGACUAGAGUACCGGAGACGAUAGUGGAAUUCCCAGUGUAGUGGUGAAAUACGUAGAGAUUGGGAAAAACACCAGUGGCGAAGGCGGCUAUCUGGACGGUUACUGACGCUAAGACGCGAAAGCGUGGGGAGCAAACAGGAUUAGAAACCCCGGUAGUCC